UAUGUUCUGGAAAUCUGAUGGUUCUAGGAUACUCUCAGAGGUGGGAGCUCCCUGGUGAUUCAGCUCUUGGUUGUCUGGGAGUCAUUCAAGGUAAAAAUGGAGAUAAGUCUUUAUGAAGAUUUUUCCAACAAUUCUCCAGCCACACUGCUGAAGAUUAUCCAGCAACUUCUUGGCAUACAGUACCAACACACCUCCGCUUCUACCAGGUGUUGGCCCCCAAAAUACUUCCUAAUAAAUCUCCUGCAUGAAAUCGCCAUCUCAAAGUGUGCUUUCUGGGGAAUGCAGUGUUUGGUAAACAGUAACUCAUGGCUAAAUACAGCAAUAUGCUCUGGAGUUCACCUGGAUACUUCUCUAGACAAAAGGCAGGUCCAGUUAUGGAUAAACAUCACUAGACAUCAAGAAAAGCUCAACAUCAAGAAAAGCCAUUUCACCUAUGUAACCAACUAACCUAGAUGACCAAGCCUAGUUAUAGAGUUUUCAUUCGAAAUCACUUUGUGCUUGAUAGACACUGAAUUGAAGCAAACACAGCAAGUGGGUCUCACAGCCAAUCCCUCAAAGACAGUAUCAAAAGCAGCAACUCCUUAAAACACUAGAAACUGAACUUUACAAUCCAUCAGCAGACUAAAGACGGGGAAGACCACACAAAGAUUAUUCACCUUAAUCAAAAACAUGGGACCAGCUCAGUAGCUCAUCAUCACAGAAAAUAGAUGAAUGAAAACAAAAUGGCUGCUCUAGACACAAGGCAAUUUCUGAAAAUAGGGAUGGUGACACUGGAGAAAAAACUGAAGACUCUUGGAGAAAAAAUAACUUCAUCACAAUAAAAUAGUAGGUGAUGGAAUGCACA
Macaca mulatta (Rhesus monkey) is the source of this 844-nucleotide non-coding RNA. Lineage: Eukaryota; Metazoa; Chordata; Mammalia; Primates; Cercopithecidae. The record is from RefSeq and is a predicted model, not a curated record.